Daphnia pulex (common water flea) is the source of this 150-nucleotide long non-coding RNA. RefSeq lists it as uncharacterized. The record is from RefSeq and is a predicted model, not a curated record. The transcript has 2 exons. Lineage: Eukaryota; Metazoa; Arthropoda; Branchiopoda; Diplostraca; Daphniidae.
CGAGGCCCUGCUCUUUGUUUCUCAGUCCAUCCAUGAGCAUUAUUCAAGAAAUAUGGCCAUCGUUCAGGAAAAAUUUGCUGCCCUAUUUAUAUCUACUGAAGGAACUGGUAGUACCGAGUUUAAAGCAGCUUUCCUGUAAAUCAUUUUUGU